UAGAAGGUCCAGCGUUCUCGGUAUUACUGGGCGUAAAGCGUGCGUAGGUGGUUGUUUAAGUCUGUUGUGAAAGCCCUGGGCUCAACCUGGGAAUUGCAGUGGAUACUGGGCGACUAGAGUGUGGUAGAGGGUAGUGGAAUUCCCGGUGUAGCAGUGAAAUGCGUAGAGAUCGGGAGGAACAUCCAUGGCGAAGGCAGCUACCUGGACCAACACUGACACUGAGGCACGAAAGCGUGGGGAGCAAACAGGAUUAGAUACCCUGGUAGUCCACGCCCUAAACGAUGCGAACUGGAUGUUGGGUGCAAUUUGGCACGCAGUAUCGAAGCUAACGCGUUAAGUUCGCCGCCUGGGGAGUACGGUCGCAAGACUG
This 370-nucleotide ribosomal RNA is filed under the name uncultured Gammaproteobacteria bacterium. Its description in RNAcentral is "bacterial SSU rRNA". It matches the Rfam family "Bacterial small subunit ribosomal RNA", at positions 527 to 896 of the family's 1533-position model. Lineage: Bacteria; Pseudomonadati; Pseudomonadota; Gammaproteobacteria. The record is from RNAcentral.